RNAcentral lists this ribosomal RNA (461 nucleotides) under uncultured bacterium. RNAcentral describes it as "partial 16S ribosomal RNA". It matches the Rfam family "Bacterial small subunit ribosomal RNA", at positions 338 to 795 of the family's 1533-position model. The record is from RNAcentral.
CCUACGGGAGGCAGCAGUGAGGAAUAUUGGUCAAUGGGCGGGAGCCUGAACCAGCCAAGUCGCGUGAGGGAAGACGGUCCUAUGGAUCGUAAACCUCUUUAGGCGGGGAGCAAUGCCGGGCACGCGUGCCCGGAGGGAGAGUACCCGAAGAAUAAGCAUCGGCUAACUCCGUGCCAGCAGCCGCGGUAAUACGGAGGAUUCGAGCGUUAUCCGGAUUUAUUGGGUUUAAAGGGAACGUAGGUGGAGUGUUAAGUCAGUUGUGAAAGUUUGCGGCUCAACCGUAAAAUUGCAGUUGAAACUGGCAGUCUUGAGUACAUGAGAGGUGGGCGGAAUGCGUGGUGUAGCGGUGAAAUGCUUAGAGAUCACGAAGAACUCCGAUUGCGAAGGCAGCUCACUGGACUGCAACUGACACUGAGGCUCGAAAGUGUGGGUAUCAAACAGGAUUAGAUACCCUUGUAGUC